Salvelinus sp. IW2-2015 is the source of this 290-nucleotide long non-coding RNA. RefSeq lists it as uncharacterized. NCBI's taxonomy places the organism in Eukaryota, Metazoa, Chordata, Actinopteri, Salmoniformes, Salmonidae. The record is from RefSeq and is a predicted model, not a curated record.
GUGGCUCUGUAAUGGCUUGUCUGCAGUACCCUGGUUAGACACCAGGUGGCUCUGUAAUGGCUUGUCCUCACUGCAGUACCCUGGUUAGACACCAGGUGGCCGUGUUUGACCGGGGAGUUUCUGUCUGGUUUCCCCAUGGUAGGUAGCCAUGUUGGUAGAGAAGCUGAUUGGCUGGCUGAUUAAACGAACAGUGUUGUUGGGAAUAGUAACAAUGCUUCUGGAUAUAUUGAAGACCGUCAGCAACAUGCUCAUUAAUACGUUUCUUUUGAUAAAACAACUUCGUAGUUGAA